GACAGAGGCCCCGAGCGUUAGGCGGAAUCACUGGGCUUAAAGCGUGUGUAGGCGGACCCCUAAGUGUCUUGUGAAAUCCCACGGCUCACCCGUGGAACCGCUGGGCAUACUGGGGGUCUUGGGCCGUUCAGGGGCGACUGGAACAAGCGGUGGAGCGGUGAAAUGCGUAGAUAUCGCUUGGAACGCCGAAGGUGAAAACAGGUCGCUGGGGGCGCGCCGACGCUGAGACACGAAAGCCAGGGGAGCAAACGGG
This 253-nucleotide ribosomal RNA is filed under the name uncultured bacterium. RNAcentral describes it as "partial 16S ribosomal RNA". It matches the Rfam family "Bacterial small subunit ribosomal RNA", at positions 524 to 776 of the family's 1533-position model. The record is from RNAcentral.